Molecule: transfer RNA, 62 nt
Filed under: Austropallene bucera
Lineage: Eukaryota; Metazoa; Arthropoda; Pycnogonida; Pantopoda; Callipallenidae
Description: tRNA-Cys
Source: RNAcentral
GGUCCUAUAGGAUAAUUUAAUCUUUUAGUUUGCAGAUCUAGAUAUACUUUUAGUUGGGGCUU